CUUGUUUCUUUGGUAGAGUUAAGUUUAUCUAACUGCAAAAAUCUACAGCAUCUUCCAUCCAGAGAUGCCAUGCGGCGCCUCACCAAAUUACGGCGCCUGAAAAUUAAAGGCUGUCCACAGUUGGAAGAAAGCUGCACCAAUCGUAGUGGCACAAACUCACAGUGGUCCAAGAUUUCUCAUAUUCCACAAAUUAGCGUGGAGUUCACGACAAUUCAGGACUUGCGCGACUAGAACAAGUGCUAUGCUACAAGGUUUCUGUGGUAAACAGUCUCUCCGGGACAUAUUCUUCGGCUAUAGACCUGUUACUGGCUCUUCCAUGAAUAUUUGGUGCUAUGGUGAAGCUAAUGAAAGGUAUGGAUGGUUGGUGCCAUUGAAAUCAGUUUAUGAGCUAUUCAUGUGUGGCAGAUCAAAUAAUUCUUACUGAUGAUGCUACAUUUAGACUGUUUCCAUGGAUUCAGCUAGGAGGUUUCUGCGGUACAAAAGGCAAAUUGGAUGCUAUCAUAGCAAUAUCCGUUGCGAAGGACCAGUUUGAGUGGCAUCUGUCCAUUAAGUUGAAGGUUUCUCUACUCUGCUUAUCAGACCAAGCAUUCCAUUAAAAGAAGACACUUUUGAGAAGAAGACAUUGUGAAGGUCUGAAGGAGCAAAUGCAACAAUGGCCGACCCUGUAAUUAGUGCUACUGUUCAAGUUUUGCUUGAAAAGCUACUUUCUCUCACUAUCGAAUUCUGUUCAUGAGCUAUUCAUAAGAUGAAGCUGUGAUACGAAGACAAAAUGUAUGUUCCGGCUGACACAGGAUUCUUAGAUUCAAGACAGAUUUCAUU
Molecule: long non-coding RNA, 819 nt
Organism: Solanum tuberosum (potato)
Lineage: Eukaryota; Viridiplantae; Streptophyta; Magnoliopsida; Solanales; Solanaceae
Exons: 5
Source: RefSeq, a predicted model, not a curated record